GAUGAACGCUGGCGGCGUGCCUAACACAUGCAAGUCGUACGAAAAAGAAAUUUUUAGUGGCAAACGGGUGAGUAACGCGUGAGAAUUUACUCUUAUGGUAGAGGAUAGCUUUUAGAAAUAUUAGCUAAAACUCUAUAUGCUUUUAAUAAGUGAAAAAAGAAAUUUGCCUAAGAAAAAGCUCGCGUCUGAUUAGCUAGUUGGUAGGGUAAAGGCCUACCAAGGCGAUGAUCAGUAGCUGGUCUGAGAGGAUGAUCAGCCACACUGGAACUGAGACACGGUCCAGACUCCUACGGGAGGCAGCAGUGAGGAAUUUUCUGCAAUGGGCGAAAGCCUGACAGAGCAACGCCGCGUGAGGGAAGAAGGCCUUCGGGUUGUAAACCUCUUUUCUCAAGGAGGAAGAUCUGACGUUACUUGAGGAAUAAGCAUCGGCCAACCCUGUGCCAGCAGCCGCAGUAA
This 456-nucleotide ribosomal RNA is filed under the name uncultured bacterium. RNAcentral describes it as "partial 16S ribosomal RNA". It matches the Rfam family "Bacterial small subunit ribosomal RNA", at positions 28 to 523 of the family's 1533-position model. The record is from RNAcentral.